This 253-nucleotide ribosomal RNA is filed under the name uncultured bacterium. RNAcentral describes it as "partial 16S ribosomal RNA". It matches the Rfam family "Bacterial small subunit ribosomal RNA", at positions 524 to 776 of the family's 1533-position model. The record is from RNAcentral.
UACAGAGGGUGCGAGCGUUAAUCGGAAUUACUGGGCGUAAAGCGCACGUAGGCGGCCCGUUAAGUCGGAUGUGAAAGCCCUCGGCUCAACCGAGGAAGUGCAUCCGAAACUAGCAGGCUUGAGUAUGGAAGAGGGUCUCGGAAUUCCCGGUGUAGAGGUGAAAUGCGUAGAUAUCUGGAGGAACACCGGUGGCGAAGGCGGCAUCCUGGACCGAGAUUGACGCUGAGGCGCGAAAGCCAGGGGAGCAAACGGG